AAAUUAAAAUGAUGUGUGCAUAGUUCAUCUGAAUUUUGUUAAUGAAGAAUUAAUUAAAUGUCUUCGCCCCUAUCUGAUUUAGACU
Molecule: small nucleolar RNA, 85 nt
Filed under: Folsomia candida
Lineage: Eukaryota; Metazoa; Arthropoda; Collembola; Entomobryomorpha; Isotomidae
Description: Small nucleolar RNA snR60/Z15/Z230/Z193/J17
Rfam family: Small nucleolar RNA snR60/Z15/Z230/Z193/J17
About the family: The members of this family belong to the C/D class of snoRNAs which contain the C (UGAUGA) and D (CUGA) box motifs.
Source: Rfam by way of RNAcentral